UGGGGAAUUUUGCGCAAUGGACGAAAGUCUGACGCAGCAACGCCGCGUGGGUGAUGAAGGUCUUCGGAUCGUAAAACCCUGUCGUCAGGGACGAAGGGUUGGGGCCUAAUACGCCUUGACCUUGACGGUACCUGGAGAGGAAGCCCCGGCUAACUCUGUGCCAGCAGCCGCGGUAAUACAGAGGGGGCAAGCGUUAUUCGGAAUUAUUGGGCGUAAAGGGCGCGUAGGCGGUUCUUUAAGUCGGAUGUGCAAUCCCCGAGCUCAACUUGGGAACUGCAUCCGAGACUGGAGAGCUAGAGUGCUGGAGAGGGUGGUGGAAUUCCACGUGUAGCGGUGAAAUGCGUAGAGAUGUGGAGGAACACCAGUGGCGAAGGCGGCCACCUGGACAGUAACUGACGCUGAGGCGCGAAAGUGUGGGGAGCAAACAGG
This 429-nucleotide ribosomal RNA is filed under the name uncultured bacterium. RNAcentral describes it as "bacterial SSU rRNA". It matches the Rfam family "Bacterial small subunit ribosomal RNA", at positions 355 to 776 of the family's 1533-position model. The record is from RNAcentral.